RNAcentral lists this ribosomal RNA (167 nucleotides) under uncultured Actinomycetes bacterium. Its description in RNAcentral is "uncultured actinobacterium partial 16S ribosomal RNA". It matches the Rfam family "Bacterial small subunit ribosomal RNA", at positions 1164 to 1330 of the family's 1533-position model. Lineage: Bacteria; Bacillati; Actinomycetota; Actinomycetes. The record is from RNAcentral.
CGGAGGAAGGUGGGGACGACGUCAAGUCAUCAUGCCCCUUAUGUCUUGGGCUGCACACGUGCUACAAUGGCCGGUACAGAGGGCUGCGAGACCGCAAGGUGGAGCGAAUCUCAAAAAGCCGGUCUCAGUUCGGAUUGGGGUCUGCAACUCGACCCCAUGAAGUCGGA